Molecule: unclassified non-coding RNA, 400 nt
Filed under: soil metagenome
Description: partial contains 5.8S ribosomal RNA, internal transcribed spacer 2, and large subunit ribosomal RNA
Rfam family: 5.8S ribosomal RNA (bases 1-122)
Source: RNAcentral
GAUGAAGAACGUAGCGAAAUGCGAUACUUGGUGAGAAUUGCAGAAUCCCGUGAACCAUCGAGUCUUUGAACGCAAGUUGCGCCUCAAGCCAUUAGGUUGAGGGCACGUCUGCCUGGGCGUCACAUAUCGUUGCCUGAUGCCAGUUUCCUCGUGAUGGGUGACUGUGCAGGGCGAAUGAUGGCUUCCCGUGAGCAUUGUUGCCUCAUGGUUGGUUGAAAAUUGAGUCCUUGGUAGGGAGCGCCGUGAUAGAUGGUGGUUGAGUGACGAACGAGACCCAAUCAUGUGAGACCCCUACCGAAUUUGGCCUUCAUGACCCACAUGCGUCUUUGGAACGCUCAUGACGAGACCUCAGGUCAGGCGGGGCUACCCGCUGAGUUUAAGCAUAUCAAUAAGCGGAGGA